GACGAACGCUGGCGGCGUGCCUAAUACAUGCAAGUCGAACGAACUGACGAAAGAGCUUGCUCUUUUGGACGUUAGUGGCGGACGGGUGAGUAACACGUGGGCAACCUGCCUGUAAGUUGGGGAUAACUCCGGGAAACCGGGGCUAAUACCGAAUAAUAACAAGCGUCGCAUGACGCCUGUUUGAAAGACGGUUUCGGCUGUCACUUACAGAUGGGCCCGCGGUGCAUUAGCUAGUUGGUAGGGUAAUGGCCUACCAAGGCGACGAUGCAUAGCCGACCUGAGAGGGUGAUCGGCCACACUGGGACUGAGACACGGCCCAGACUCCUACGGGAGGCAGCAGUAGGGAAUCUUCCGCAAUGGACGAAAGUCUGACGGAGCAACGCCGCGUGUGUGAAGAAGGUUUUCGGAUCGUAAAGCACUGUUGUUAGAGAAGAACAAGGAUAAGAGUAACUGCUUGUCCCUUGACGGUAUCUAACCAGAAAGCCACGGCUAACUACGUGCCAGCCGCCGCCGUAACAC
This 519-nucleotide ribosomal RNA is filed under the name uncultured bacterium. Its description in RNAcentral is "bacterial SSU rRNA". It matches the Rfam family "Bacterial small subunit ribosomal RNA", at positions 28 to 526 of the family's 1533-position model. The record is from RNAcentral.